Molecule: transfer RNA, 69 nt
Filed under: Amicotermes ivorensis
Lineage: Eukaryota; Metazoa; Arthropoda; Insecta; Blattodea; Termitidae
Description: tRNA-Ile
Source: RNAcentral
AAUGAUGAGCCUGAUUUUAAAGGACUAUCGUGAUAGGAUAAAAUAUGUAGAUUAACCCUACCUUCAUUA